RNAcentral lists this long non-coding RNA (3251 nucleotides) under Ailuropoda melanoleuca (giant panda). Its description in RNAcentral is "lncRNA (ENSAMEG00000024266.1)". Lineage: Eukaryota; Metazoa; Chordata; Mammalia; Carnivora; Ursidae. The record is from RNAcentral.
UCAACCCAAGGAUUUACCUCUGUCUUCCCAGAACUGCACUGAGAUGACCAAAGCAACAGGAAGCUAAGAGCUCAUCCCGGCCUGGGCCGCUGAAACAAACAUGCUGCCCUGGGGGCUUAUCAAUGACAGAAACGCACGUCUCGCCGCUCCGGGGCUGGAAGCCCACCAGCAAGAGGGGAAGACACGAAGACUCGAAGCACGGCUGCGUGACGACAAGCCUGUUCUCCAGACCGCGUGUAACCUACAACGACCGACCGUAGAUACGUGUCUACCGAGUGUCUACUGUGUGCCAGGCGCUGUUCCAGAUGCUGAGGACACAGAGCUGAUUACACCAGACAAAAGCCUUUGUCCUCCAGGUGCCCACAGCUGGCUGCGCGCGCCCGGGAAGAGGGACCACAGGACAAGCGGACAAGCCAGCUCAGUUGCAGCAUUGUUGUGCAUAAUGCAGUCUAUUCAUCCAUCCAACCGACCGUUACUAAGCAGCCACGCUUUGCAGGGCGUCUGUGGGGCCCUCCUCUGCCCUGUAAGGCCUGCGAGGCCAGAGCCUGGCUCUUCCUGUCUCCUAGUUCACAGUCCAGCCCUGGGCAGGUGCAGAGCCCACCCACGAGAAAUGUCUGCUGACUCAAUGAAUCAGCACAAGAAAAUAUAAACGUGAGGUUCUGGAACCAGAUCCUUCUUUUUCCCCUGAAAUAGACGUAUCCUUUAAAUUUUUAUGACAAAAGUAACGUUCAUGAAAGAAACACUGAGACAAUUUAGAAGCAUCAACGGUGAAACUCCCCCUACCAUAACCCCACUGCUGAGAAUGAAUUCUGAUCCCUUCUCGAGCUAUUUUCAGAUUCCCAACCGUGUCCUCAGCAAAGUUUCCCUGGUUUCUCUGCCGCAGUGCCGAACUUGUUCACUUUACGUGCUUAUCAAACGUAGAAGUGCUUCAGUUUUUAUCUGAUUACUGUUCACCGACUGUAUCACCCACACCAAGGACAGAACCUUCACACGGAAGCUGAAGGCUAGAGAAGGAGCUUCCCUCCACACAGCUAACAGCCAAGUCUGCAGACUGAGAUACAGAGUUUUUCCAGGUGAGGAGUAAGGAAGAUACCCCUAGUUCUCCCCCAUUGUGUCCACCCUCCCAGCUUCCUCCCCCAAGUCUGCUCCUUGAAAGCUCUGGAUCUUUUGUGUCCUUGGCUUUUUAGACCUCUGGUCUGGAAGACCCGUUUUUGUAAGUAUCUCCUGAGUGUGGAUCAGACUUCCCGUGUGUGGCCGAGGGCUAGCGGGAGGACCAGUGCAAGCCUGGGGUACUUGCCCUGAAGCAUCCCCAUCUAAGCCUGGGGCCUCUGGGUCCCCGAGUGCCGGAGUUACUGGGAUUCCAUGAGACCCGAGGUACACGUUUGCUACAACGUGAGAGCAAAAGCAAUUAAAAAGGCAUUAGUGGUACUUUUCUGUCGACUUAUGUUCUUAAAACUAAUUAUUGGUUCAUUAAGACUCCCAGCCUUCAUCAAAGGUUUUGUCACAUGGAAACAGCGGACACGCCUGACUUGUAUGAAACAGAAGGCUCAGUAAAUGCAAACCAGGCCUCACAGUCAUAAGCUGCCUGAGGCUCUGGAGUCAUCAGGACAAACCCUUUUACUGUGAACUUGGGGUGAGCAAUGAAAACGUACAUGAUUCAUGCCGUGUUUAUCAGCUCUCCGUGCUGUGAAAACUAGCCAAAAGCUUUACCAUUUCAAAUUUGCAUAGAUCUUCCUCAUCACUUCCAGUUGUAGACCUCUGACUCUUCUAGAAAGGUGGGAUCAAAAAUUGUUGAUUAAUCACGGGCAUUAAUUUCCUUUCUCACCCGAGACCCGACCACAGUGACCGUGAACGACCCGUGCCAGGUACAAAUGCACAUCGACAAAGAUCCCGGGAGGAGAGCCGUCCGCAGACCAGGGGAGCAAGUCAAUCUCCGGAGGCAGGUGGACGUGGGGCGAUGGGGGAGGCAGUGUGGAGGACGCCGUCCCCGAGGUUACACGUGGAGAUAGAUGCAGCCCUCCGCAGCCCUGUGGGGAGCACUCAGGAAUUUCACACAGAAACAGAACUGAGAUACAGAGCUGAAAGCAGAGUGGUUGAGUCGAUUACGCACAGAAUAUGUGACCCCACCGUCAGACCGGAGCUGAGCAGCCGGCUCCAUCUAUCCAGGUCAAACAUCGGACAGUCGAUCUCGAGGAAGAUCCAGAGCCUACGUAUUACUUACCUACUGCUGCACAAGUGACCCCAAAGCUGAGCCACUCACGACAACACACGUGUUAUCUCUCAGCUUCUACAGGUCAGGAAUCCCAGAGUAGCUUAGCUGGGUGGUUCCGCUCGCGUCUGUCCUCAGGGUGCAGUGAAGACGUGGCCCAGAGCUGCGCCAUCUGAAGGCUUGCCUGGGGCCGGACGGUCUGCGUCCAGGAUGGCUCCCUCAGCACCUGGACUCUCUGACGGCUGCCGGAGUGUCUCCACGACACGGCAGCUGACCUCCCCCAGCAGCGAGAGCAGGAGGAAACCUCAGUGCCUCUUGGUCCUAAUAGUGGGAGUCGCACACGGUCACGUUUGUCACAUUCUACUCGUGAGAAUAAAGUCACGAAGCCCAGUGCUUACUCAAGGGAAGUGGAAUUAAGUUCCACGUCUCGCAAGAUGGCAUGCCCCCAAAUCUGUACCUAAACCAAAGCCACCCCAUCCCAGAAAACAGACCUCCUCAUCUGGGACUCAGGGGUCCCCCUGCCCUAAAGACAACUCCUUGUGACCAGUUUAAAGCCAAUUCCACGAUUGAACAGGCCCCCUCAUACUCAUGGAGCACCUAUGCACCUGUGUGUGGCUUAUUCUAAAUACAAAUACAAAUUAUCUAAAUGUAAUUGUCGACUAGAACACCAGGUACUUAAGGGGGGGAAGACCCCUGUAACCUAAAAGAGAAGGAAUCAAACUAUGGAAGAAAAAAGCUGACCCCUAAGGGAUUAAAAAUGAUUCUAAAAACAGGAGAUGAAAAACCACCACCCACAACCCUAAUUAAUAUCUUCAGGGAGAAACCAGAACACAUUGCAUCUAUUAUAAAAUAAAGUGACUCUACAAAAUUUAAACGCUCAGAGAACAUGAAGGAACUCCUAGAGAUUAAAAAUAUAUGGCCAAAAGUAUUUUUAAAACGUAAAAAGACUGCCUUAAAAAAGUCAAAUCCAAUAGCCCAAAAAUAUAACAAAAAGAGACGGAGUAGAUGAGAGGGAGGAAAAAUAAAAAAAAAAGGAGAGGCC